UUUGAUGGCGGCCGGCGCACGGGUGAGUAACACGUAUCCAACCUGCCGAUGACUCGGGGAUAGCCUUUCGAAAGAAAGAUUAAUACCCGAUGGCAUAGUUCUUCCGCAUGGUAGAACUAUUAAAGAAUUUCGGUCAUCGAUGGGGAUGCGUUCCAUUAGGUUGUUGGCGGGGUAACGGCCCACCAAGCCUUCGAUGGAUAGGGGUUCUGAGAGGAAGGUCCCCCACAUUGGAACUGAGACACGGUCCAA
This 249-nucleotide ribosomal RNA is filed under the name uncultured bacterium. Its description in RNAcentral is "partial 16S ribosomal RNA". It matches the Rfam family "Bacterial small subunit ribosomal RNA", at positions 84 to 334 of the family's 1533-position model. The record is from RNAcentral.